CGAGUCGGAGUUGUAGUCGGGGGCCGAGUCGCAGCCGCUCAACUACUAAAGUUGGACGCCGCAUUUGCCAAUUGAAACAUUCAAAUACAAACAAAACCUUAGUGAGACAUAUAAAAGUAUAAAAAAAAAAAAA
Molecule: non-coding RNA, 133 nt
Organism: Drosophila virilis
Lineage: Eukaryota; Metazoa; Arthropoda; Insecta; Diptera; Drosophilidae
Source: RefSeq, a predicted model, not a curated record